Molecule: long non-coding RNA, 329 nt
Filed under: Trifolium pratense (red clover)
Lineage: Eukaryota; Viridiplantae; Streptophyta; Magnoliopsida; Fabales; Fabaceae
Description: long non-coding RNA (TPRA_LNC006355)
Source: RNAcentral
GAGAAAAGAAAACAUUACAUGUUUGAUGCAAUUCUAUUUGAUCAUAGCUAGGCUUUUAUGUGCUUUAGUUUAGACCCAUUAGUGUCCAUAUACAAACUAUUUAUAACUAAAAAAUAAUUUAAGUUCUAUCGUAUUGCUGUGGUGUUUGUUCAAUUUAUAUAAUUUUAUAUUUGUUCAGUUUAUAUUGAUAAAUUAGAUUCAAUUCAGUUUAAAUUCAAUAAAUGAUUUUGACAUGGUUAAUUAAUGUUUCAGAUGCUUAGACAUAGGCAUUCUAGUAAUUAACUUUGGCUUCAUAUAUGUAGAUUUUUUCAUAUUUGUAAGCAUUUGCC